RNAcentral lists this ribosomal RNA (363 nucleotides) under uncultured bacterium. Its description in RNAcentral is "bacterial SSU rRNA". It matches the Rfam family "Bacterial small subunit ribosomal RNA", at positions 72 to 422 of the family's 1533-position model. The record is from RNAcentral.
AAGUGGAGCAAUCCAUGAGUAGAGUGGCAAACGGGUGAGUAACGCGUGGGCGACCUACCUCAGAGUGGGGGAUAACCUUCCGAAAGGAGGGCUAAUACCGCAUGACAUACCGUGUUUGGAUACACGGAUAUCAAAGCCGGGGAUCGCAAGACCUGGCGCUUGGAGAGGGGCCCGCGUCCGAUUAGCUAGUUGGUGGGGUAACAGCCUACCAAGGCUCCGAUCGGUAUCCGGCCUGAGAGGGCGGACGGACACACUGGGACUGAGACACGGCCCAGACUCCUACGGGAGGCAGCAGUGGGGAAUUGUUCGCAAUGGGCGCAAGCCUGACGACGCAACGCCGCGUGGAGGAUGAAGGAUUUCGGU